UACGUAGGGUGCAAGCGUUAAUCGGAAUUACUGGGCGUAAAGCGUGCGCAGGCGGUUUUGUAAGUCUGUCGUGAAAGCCCCGGGCUCAACCUGGGAAUUGCGAUGGAGACUGCAAGGCUUGAAUCUGGCAGAGGGGGGUAGAAUUCCACGUGUAGCAGUGAAAUGCGUAGAGAUGAUGGAGGAACACCGAUGGCGAAGGCAGCCCCCUGGGUCAAGAUUGACGCUCAUGCACGAAAGCGUGGGGAGCAAACAGGAU
RNAcentral lists this ribosomal RNA (256 nucleotides) under uncultured bacterium. Its description in RNAcentral is "partial 16S ribosomal RNA". It matches the Rfam family "Bacterial small subunit ribosomal RNA", at positions 524 to 778 of the family's 1533-position model. The record is from RNAcentral.